GCCUGGAUAGCUCAGUUGCUAGAGCAUCAGACUUUUAAUCUGAGUGUCCAGGGUUCAAGUCCCUGUUCAGGCG
Molecule: non-coding RNA, 73 nt
Organism: Larimichthys crocea (large yellow croaker)
Lineage: Eukaryota; Metazoa; Chordata; Actinopteri; Sciaenidae
Source: Rfam